AGUGAACGCUGGCGGUAGGCCUAACACAUGCAAGUCGAACGGCAGCACAGUAAGAGCUUGCUCUUACGGGUGGCGAGUGGCGGACGGGUGAGGAAUACAGCGGAAUCUACUUUUUCGUGGGGAUGAACGUGGGGAAACUACUGCAAAUGCGCCCUUGGUCCAAGGGGUGAAUUAGGGGGCUCUGCGGCCUUUGGCCGUUCGAGUGGCCCAUUGGCGGUUUGGUUAGUUGGCGGGGUAAAGGCCCCCCAAGGCGAAGACCGGUAGCGGGUCUGAGCGGAUGAACAGCCACAGUGGAACUGAGACACGGUCCAGACUCCUACGGGCGGCAGCAGUGGGGAAUAUUGGAAAAUGGGCGCAAGCCUGAUCCAGCCAUACCGCGUUGGUGAAGAAGGCCUGCGGGUUGUAAAGCCCUUUUGUUGGGAAAGAACAGCAGCAGGUUAAAACCACGCUGUUCUGACGGUACCCAAAGAAUAAGCACCGGCUAACUUCGUG
Molecule: ribosomal RNA, 492 nt
Filed under: uncultured bacterium
Lineage: Bacteria
Description: partial 16S ribosomal RNA
Rfam family: Bacterial small subunit ribosomal RNA
Source: RNAcentral